This 253-nucleotide ribosomal RNA is filed under the name uncultured bacterium. RNAcentral describes it as "partial 16S ribosomal RNA". It matches the Rfam family "Bacterial small subunit ribosomal RNA", at positions 524 to 776 of the family's 1533-position model. The record is from RNAcentral.
UACGUAGGGUGCGAGCGUUAAUCGGAAUUACUGGGCGUAAAGCGUGCGCAGGCGGUGAGUUAAGUCUGCUGUGAAAGCCCCGGGCUCAACCUGGGAACGGCAGUGGAAACUGGCUCGCUGGAGUAUGGCAGAGGGGGGUGGAAUUCCGCGUGUAGCAGUGAAAUGCGUAGAGAUGCGGAGGAACACCGAUGGCGAAGGCAGCCCCCUGGGCCAAUACUGACGCUCAGGCACGAAAGCGUGGGGAGCAAACAGG